RNAcentral lists this ribosomal RNA (468 nucleotides) under uncultured bacterium. Its description in RNAcentral is "partial 16S ribosomal RNA". It matches the Rfam family "Bacterial small subunit ribosomal RNA", at positions 28 to 507 of the family's 1533-position model. The record is from RNAcentral.
GACGAACGCUGGCGGCGUGCUUAACACAUGCAAGUCGAACGGAAAGGCCCUGCUUUUGUGGGGUGCUCGAGUGGCGAACGGGUGAGUAACACGUGAGUAACCUGCCCUUGACUUUGGGAUAACUUCAGGAAACUGGGGCUAAUACCGGAUAGGAGCUCCUGCUGCAUGGUGGGGGUUGGAAAGUUUCGGCGGUUGGGGAUGGACUCGCGGCUUAUCAGCUUGUUGGUGGGGUAGUGGCUUACCAAGGCUUUGACGGGUAGCCGGCCUGAGAGGGUGACCGGCCACAUUGGGACUGAGAUACGGCCCAGACUCCUACGGGAGGCAGCAGUGGGGAAUAUUGAACAAUGGGCGGAAGCCUGAUGCAGCAACGCCGCGUGCGGGAUGACGGCCUUCGGGUUGUAAACCGCUUUCGCCUGUGACGAAGCGUGAGUGAAGGUAAUGGGUAAAGAAGCACCGGCUAACUACGUG